Long non-coding RNA from Vicia villosa (hairy vetch), 392 nucleotides. RefSeq lists it as uncharacterized. The transcript is spliced from 3 exons. NCBI's taxonomy places the organism in Eukaryota, Viridiplantae, Streptophyta, Magnoliopsida, Fabales, Fabaceae. The record is from RefSeq and is a predicted model, not a curated record.
AUUCGUACUCCUCAUCUCAUGGCCCUCCUAAUCAACCAAUUGGAAUUUUGUUUCGAAGAACUUCACAGCAACCACCGUUUCUCCAUCUCUGACCGAUUCGAGGAAGUAGGAGAUACCAGACCAAGUUCGAUGGAUAGAGUCACAACAUGUGACAGUAGAAGUCGUGUUGUCCUGGAGGGUUUUAUGAUUUUGCUCUAUUUUCAACAGGAUGUUACAUAGAUGAUUUUGUUACCCAUGUUUAAUGUUGUUUCUAUUUUCUUUAAUUUUCCAGGUUUUUAUUUCAAUAUGACUGGAGCUAACUCAAGGAGAUUAACGAGGAUGACGAGAAACUGAUGGAUGCAUUCUUAUCCAAGGACCCAGGUUCCUAGACAACAACACUUGCAGAUGUUUUG